This 497-nucleotide ribosomal RNA is filed under the name uncultured bacterium. RNAcentral's name for it is "partial 16S ribosomal RNA". It matches the Rfam family "Bacterial small subunit ribosomal RNA", at positions 28 to 507 of the family's 1533-position model. The record is from RNAcentral.
GAUGAACGCUGGCGGCGUGCCUAAUACAUGCAAGUCGAGCGAACGGACGCGGAGCUUGAUUCUCUGAUGUUAGCGGCGCACGGGAGAGUAACGCGUGGAUACCCUACCUAUAAGACUGGGAUAACCUCGGAAAACCGGAGCUAAUACCGGAUGAUAUUUUGAACCGCAUGGUUCAAAAGUGAAAGACGGUCUUGCUGUCACUUAUCGAUGGAUCCGCGCUGCAUUAGCUGGUUGGUAAGGUCACGGCUUACCAAGGCAACGAUGCCUAGGCGAGCUGCGAUGGUGAGCGGCCACCCUGGAACUGAGACCCGGUCCAUACUCCUACGGGAGGCAGCCGGAUGGAAUCUUCCGCAAUGGGCGAAGGCCUGUCGGAGCAGCGCCGCGUGAGUGAUGAAGGUCUUCGGAUCGUAAGACUCUGUUAUUGGGGAAGAACAUAUGUUUAAGUGACUGGGCACAUCAUUGCGGUACCUGAUCAGAGAGCCACGGCUUACUACGUG